Molecule: ribosomal RNA, 784 nt
Filed under: Bacillus safensis
Lineage: Bacteria; Bacillati; Bacillota; Bacilli; Caryophanales; Bacillaceae
Description: bacterial SSU rRNA
Rfam family: Bacterial small subunit ribosomal RNA
Source: RNAcentral
GGGCGUAAGGGCUCGCAGGCGGUUUCUUAAGUCUGAUGUGAAAGCCCCCGGCUCAACCGGGGAGGGUCAUUGGAAACUGGGAAACUUGAGUGCAGAAGAGGAGAGUGGAAUUCCACGUGUAGCGGUGAAAUGCGUAGAGAUGUGGAGGAACACCAGUGGCGAAGGCGACUCUCUGGUCUGUAACUGACGCUGAGGAGCGAAAGCGUGGGGAGCGAACAGGAUUAGAUACCCUGGUAGUCCACGCCGUAAACGAUGAGUGCUAAGUGUUAGGGGGUUUCCGCCCCUUAGUGCUGCAGCUAACGCAUUAAGCACUCCGCCUGGGGAGUACGGUCGCAAGACUGAAACUCAAAGGAAUUGACGGGGGCCCGCACAAGCGGUGGAGCAUGUGGUUUAAUUCGAAGCAACGCGAAGAACCUUACCAGGUCUUGACAUCCUCUGACAACCCUAGAGAUAGGGCUUUCCCUUCGGGGACAGAGUGACAGGUGGUGCAUGGUUGUCGUCAGCUCGUGUCGUGAGAUGUUGGGUUAAGUCCCGCAACGAGCGCAACCCUUGAUCUUAGUUGCCAGCAUUUAGUUGGGCACUCUAAGGUGACUGCCGGUGACAAACCGGAGGAAGGUGGGGAUGACGUCAAAUCAUCAUGCCCCUUUAUGACCUGGGCUACACACGUGCUACAAUGGACAGAACAAAGGGCUGCAAGACCGCAAGGUUUAGCCAAUCCCAUAAAUCUGUUCUCAGUUCGGAUCGCAGUCUGCAACUCGACUGCGUGAAGCUGGAAUCGCUAGUA